CUCCAUUAAGUGAUCUAUAUAUGAUUGUCGGAUAAAAAGGUGAUCUAUAUUUUUUUGAAUUACCGAUCUAAAUAUGAUUUUUUCGAUUCAAAAUAAACAAAAAUACCUUACUUUUUCUAGAAAUAACAAGAUAUUGUAUGAUAAGAUUAUAUCUAGUUUGUAUGAUUGUAGAUAUCUUCAAUAUGUACAUUUUAAAAAAAGCUAUUAGUAAUUUGCAGGCCAUGAAUCUUUUACCAAGUGUGGUUUGCAAAUAGACGGCAAGGAGAAGCAUAGAAACAACGAAAAAAGUUUUCAUAGCCAUGUUGUGAGGUAGAGAUCACAAAAAGAGAGAUAUUAAAGAAAAAAAUGCUGAUAGAAAAUUUUGCCUAAAAUAAGAGGAGUGUUUCUUCGGGUGAAGUUAUAUGUGUUGGAGCAACAGCCUAUUUAUAGAGCAGGAUAACUCGAUACAUUAAUUCUUUUUUCUUAAUUUGAAAUAUAAAUGACAAUAGUGUUGACAAUGUAGACACUGAAGAGUCUUAACGUGGCAGACACUGAAGAGUCGUAGUUACAUUAAUUGGGUAGUCUAUUUGAUUCAUUACGAAAAGUCGAAAACGUAACAACCUUUUUGAUUAUAUACGUUUGAAUGAGUGUUGAACUUAGGCAUGCACAUUUGGUUAUCGGACCGGGAUCUGGGUAGGAUAUUUCAAAUAUCGGUGUAAUUCGAUAUAGGAAAAUUUGUACAUAUCGGUAAUUCUAAAUCUCGGAUUGAUUCGGUUCGCUACUUGGCGGAUUCGGAUUUUAUCGAGUAUAUCCGAAUGAACCGAAAAAUACCAAACCCGGUUCGGAUUGACUUAUUAUAAUCCAAAUGUAUAGAAGAAUAAUCCAUAUAUCCGAUUAGGGUCUAUUUUUGUAUAUCCAACUGUGUCCAAGAAUAUCCAAAAAUAGCUAAAACUAACAAAAAAUAUCUAAAAUAUCCGAUUUAUCCAAAAAAAUAUAUAUUUAAAAUUAUAACUAUAAUUUUUAAUAUUUGAAUUAUUAUAAGUAUUAAUAUAACUAUAUUUUAUAUAUACUAUUUAUACUUCCGGAUAUUUUCGGAUGCCUGUAAUUUUCGGAUUCGGUUCAGGUUCAGAUCGAUUUUUUGGAUAUAGGAAAUCAUGUACCAUUCAGGUAUCUAUGUCGAAUUGGAUUCGGUUUGUUACCUGAACUUCGAAUCCGGAUAAUUUGUCCAUGUCUAGUUGAACUGUUGAUGCAUAACUUUUACUCUGAAGUCUUACAUAUAUGCGUUUAUGCAUCAUGUUGAAAGUUUUCGUUAAGAUUAAUCUUCCUAAAUAAGGUGUUAUAAGGUAGAUCAAUAAACUUCCAUAAUUGACUGGUUAUGCAAAAUAUUAUACAUCAAGUGAAACUUAAAAUAAAUUAGUUUUUGUUAUGAAUAAACACGAAUUUACCUCAAAAAAACAAAAAAAAAACGAGAAAAUAUUCGUUUUGUGGUAUAUUAAAUAUUUAAAUUAAAUAAUUUACAAUUAUUUACGGAUGUAUUUAUACUAUUUUAAAACUCCGAUAUUUUUUAUUUUAUGAAAACAUCGCUAUCUAAUAAGUGCACUUUUCUAAAUUUUUAAAAUAGUGUACCUUAAGGAACUUUGGUUUUCACUUUUCACACUCCCAUAUGUCGAUCUUGAUCAUGAGUAAAUUUUCUUUACGUCUUACCGGAGCACAUAAAUUUAAAUCAUUCUAGAAUUAACACGUUUCAUGUACAAAAACAAUGGUUAUGACUUAUCGUUGCGACCCGUAUUACCCAUGUAGUUAGAACUGCUAAACUGAAGAUUAAACUAGUUUCUAAGACUUAAUUUAUAACUUUAAACCUGGGGAUCUCUACCUACAAAGAUUUAUAGUAAAUAUUUUGAUGUAUAUAAUUAUUAACUUUAACUAACGGAAACGAAUAUUAUGUAAAUAAGAAAUAUUGCAGUAAUUUGUGUUAAUGCCGUGAUUGUGUUAUUAUUCGAGUACAAAUCCAGAUAAUGCAAACUAUUGAUUGAUAAAACAAAAAAAAAAAGUAUGUUCCAAAAAAUAGUCAUUAAUUAUGCAAAGUUGGAGUAUGCAUUAAAUAUAUUUAUGAAAAAAAAAGUUGAUAGAAAUUUCUAUGUUCAUCUCAAUAGAAAAGUAUUAACGUGGAAAAUAGGUUUGACAAAUAAACAUUCCGUUGUUAAUGGCGAAAAUUAUGCAGUCAAAGUCGAGAUGUGAAACCUUGACUCACUUUUCCUAAAAUCUGGUAUGGAACCAUCUUCCCCUUACGGUCAUAAUUAAUUUGGACUAUUUCGUAUUCUUUAACUAACUUUAAACAUUUAGACUAAGGAAAUAAUACAUCUACAUAACGUUUAUAUAUUAAGUCGUUCAUAAGCUUUAUAUAUCUAUGAUUAACUGAUUUCUAAUUAAGCAUUAAAUUUCUAACCAAUUUGAAUAGUUUAUUUGUUCUAUUAUGUUUAUAAGUUUUUAAUCAAAUAAUAUAAGAUGAUCAUAGUUUCGUAUUAAACAGUUUUAAUAACAAUCUGUCACUAAACUUGUGAUGCUAACUUUAGUUUAUGCAAGUAUUUAAACUGCUCUUUUUAGUUUCCAUUUCACCUCUAUAUAUCUUAAUUACGUAUAAACAUAAGAUUUUGACAAAACAGAUACGCUAAAUAAUUUAUCUAAUUUGUCGUUUAAAUCGUAUUUUCUAAAAACAAACUUUAAACAAAAAGUCUUCUUGGAAGUGAGAUGGAAACCGUAAAUGACGGUAGAGACUUCGAAAGACAGAAACUUUCUUAACACAAGGACAGUCACGAGUCGUCUUUAUUACUCAAGAUAUUUUUAUAUACGAAUAUAUCCAAAAUUCUGUUGUUCAGUAAUAUUUACUAGACGUCAAAUUCACCUGGAAUGUGGUUCCACAUACCGAACUUGUUCCAAAGCGACUUUGUCUGUUUUGAGGUUCUAUGUUUGGGCUAGAGACUGCAUACGACUGUCGUUUGAUAAGUUUUUAUGAACUUAAAAUGGUCCAAAAUUAAUUCGUUUAAAAGAGAAAAAAAAAACAAAACAAAAGCGAGAAAAUAUCUAGCCGACUUCAAAAUAUAUAAUCUAAUAUAUGUAGAAAAGAGAAAGAUUAUGAGGUGUUAUACGCAAAACCCUAAAAUCAGCUACAAAUGUCAAAUACUCUAGGUUUAAGGUUGUUUAAAUCAAUUCUAAUAUUGUUAUGUUCGUUUAAUGUAAUAAUUAAAUACAUUUUCUGACAACCUCUCCUGUAAUCGAUGAGAUAGGUUCUUGAAUCAGUAAUUUUUUACUUAUAACGUAUUUUUACUUAGGAUAAGGAAUCCAAAUUUGACAUUGGUGGUUUUUUUUUCAUCAAAAAAUGUGAACAUUUUUAUCGUUCUGUAAACAGCCAAAUUCAUUGUUACGUAUUCCAUUCAAUCCAUUCAUGAGAUUUAAAAUUCUAUGCGUAUUGGUUCUUUCGAAGUUCGAACAGUUGAAAACUUCCAUGUUCCAUGCUCCAUGCUCCCAACCUAUUCUUUAUUGUAUAAACAGUCCAGUGUAAAGAUAAGAUAAUGCUUAUCCAUUUUGUGAUAUUUAUGUAACUAUUAAAAUAAUAAUUGCUUCACUAGGGGAUAAAAUUAGCCGAUUUACCUUCUCUAUAAAUAUCAUGUUGGCUCAUCAAAUUAAAUAGAUGGACAAGAGUUCACUAGUUUAGUUCCUCUCUCUUUCGUAGAUCACUUCACACACAAUACAUAUAUAUAUUCAACACAUAAACUGAGACCAAAAGUCUUCUACUCUCUCUCGUACACAUCGAACUUCCCUCGCUCUUUAAUAUAUAUAGUUUAUCUUUAUAUUUGUACAACACGUUAUCAGCACGAAACUCUGACCAACUGGGGUUUAUCAAUCCGAAAAUUCUUAAACCAGUCGAGGUAAUGUUUAAAUUUCUAUGUUUCAAUAUACUUAAUUUAUUUAAAAUUUAUUAUUAUUUUGGAGUGAGAGGCUAGGCCUUCUCCUUUUAUUUUCGGGAUGAUAGGCAUUGCCUUUCCCGACUGAUCGUUAUAGUAGGCUAUGCCUUCACGAUCAGAGAAACACGUGUAGGCGUUGCUUCCGUGAAUAAAAAAAAAAUAAUAAUAAAUGUAAAAAAUGGCAGACUAAGACUUUUCGGACCUUGAAAUAAGUAAAAGUCAAAAUGGUAUACCAUGUCUCUUCGGACUUUGAAAAAUGAUUAAUAUGGUAGUUUAAGUCUCCUCGGGACAUGUGGUAGGCUAAGCCUCCAAUUUUAUUUAUGUUCUUUAAAUUUUUGCAAUUUAAAUUUAUACCUUUAAUUUCUGCAUUUAUAUUAUGUAUUUCAAUUUCCGUCUUUAUAUAUAUUAUUAUUCUAUGAAUUCGGUUAUCAUGUCAAAUUUGACAAAUUUCAAAAUAAAUGCCCUUGAUAUUACGGGAAAUAGUUAUAUGACCUGGACAGUGGGUGUAAAGAUGCACCUGAGAGAAAAUGAGCUUUGAUAACUUAUCGAUAUAAUCUAUAUUGGAUGAGAAAAAGAUAAAGCCAUGAUAAUUUACACCACUUUAAUGAUGGUUUAUAAGAUGAGGUGUAUCAUGAGAAAGAUCUAGACGAUCUUUGAAUAAUCAAAUCCUUGAAAGAAAGGAUUCACCAAAUUGUCGGAGUUGAUGUAAAUCCUCCUUUAGAAUUGAAAAGAAAAGAAACUCAUGAUACUAAACCAUCAAGUCGGUCCUUUUUGAAAAGGACGAGGGUGUGGAUGCGGUUGAAACCGCUAUCGCGAUCGUGGAAGAAGACGAGGAAGAAGAUUCCGUCCAUUAGAACUUCCACGAAAAAUGAAAGUGGUCGGGUGAUAAAAGGCAAACAGAAAAGGUUUGCUACAUAUGCGACAAGAAAGAAAAUUGGGUAUGUAAUUGUCGUACGCCAAAUAUUUAGCCGAUCUAUAUCGAGAAUCAAAAAGAAAAAGAGAAAUGAAGUAUAUUAAACUUCGUCUCUUAUGAACCCGAACCAUUUUUUAUAGCUUGAAUACUCAUCUAGGUGAUUCAGAUUUUCUGGUUGGUCCAUAAAAUGAAAAUAAAAUACCGAUGUGAUAUGAAAAUUAUCUUCCUGAAUAAGAUUUUGAGAGUCAGGAUGGAGACAGAUAUACCUGACAGAUUUUGGGUCAUCGUACAUGACUACUAAAGGUAACAAAUAUCUUUCCUCUCUCAAAAGUAUAGUAUCUAGUAAUAUAAAAUUUACUAUUGACUCUAGAAGAGCUUAUGAUGAAAAGACAUGCAUAAGAAAAAGAUGGCAAAAUUAUGAAUGGUAAACCUGAAGUUUAUUGAUAUAUAGCCAUCUCCAAUAAUGUUAUCGACAUUAUUGUGAAAUGUUGAAAAACCAUAAGUUUUUCACAUAUAGCAUGUCAAGAAAAUAAAGGAAACCAUCAUGGGUGAUGCAUCAUCAAACAAGUUCACAAUAUGUGAUUUCUUUAAGAAGACCCCAAAUUAAUAUCUGACUCUAAAGGAUUUGAAACAUAAUUCAUCUCAAAAUGGGAAAACUGAAUAUGUUAUUGGUUCUAGAGUGGGAUUCAGUACGAGAUUUUAGAAAUAGGUUGGUAUCUCCACAGUUGUAACACAGUUUCUUCUCGAAGCUGCUCUCUUCGUUUUGGUCGGGGCAGUUUUUAAGACUAUGCCCUCGCCUUCUACAUUGCAAGCAUAUCUACAGCAAACAUUAAAAACAUUUACUAUUACCUUCCAGUAACCACCAGGUAAAGCGAUCAUUCAAGUAUCUGUCAUUCAGCUUUUUUUUUUUUUUGCCCCAGAGUCAAACCAUCAAGAGAGGUACAAAUGACAGAACAAACUUUCACAUGAAAUUAGCCUUUGAUUAAUUCAGACAGAACCUUUGACUAAUUCAGACAGAAUCUACUCGCUCAUACAUUGCUUCUAACUAAACCAUCGGAGCUGAAGUUAAAAACCAAAGUGAACUCAGCAAACCUUGUUUCUUUCCCACUCAGACUUUUCAGGGCAUGCAGAGCUUACCGAUAUGGGUUCUUUGGCUCACCAUUGUCGACUACUGUUUCCAAUUGAUUACACCGGCAGCAAUAUAGUGAAGAGGAAGAAAGACGCAGCGAGGAAGAGGCUUUGUUCUAUAUUUUUAAUUGAGCCCACAAAACAAUUCUCAUACUUGGGGCUAGGGGUGGUUCUGCUAGAGUAUGGUACAUAAAUGAAUAAUCUGUUUUGAGUAUUAUUAUCUUGGUAUCAAUAAGCUCAAACUCAUUACUAGUAUAUAAUACGAUAUUACAAGUAUAAAUUCACCAGAUCGUGCACAACUCUGACUGUCUCCUUAUGCAUCGUGGUGUGUUUUAUGAAAUACUCCCUCCGCUCCUAAAAGAUGUAUGUUCUUGAAAAAAAAUUUGUUUCAAAAAGAUACAUUUUUUUAUUUUUUCAAUGUAUGAGUUUAUGAAAAAUUGUAAGUUUCAAAAAAAUUAAUGGUGUUUAUUGAAUUUCUAUUGGCUAAAAGUUAUGAAAAAUUGUUAUUCACAAAAAACAAUGCAUAUUUAAUGAGUUUUCUUAAUAUAUGUGAAAAGUCUAGAAUAUGCAUCUUUUAAAAACAGAGGGAGUACAUAAUAAGCAAACAUUAAACGAUGUAAUAAAACCAUCUAAACACAAAGUUCUUUAUUAUUCUCUUCAGAUCUCUCAUGAGAUAUGGUACGUCUUCUCUCUAUGCUCGCUUGCAUUAAUUAAUAGGACGCAGGUGCGGGCGCGUACGACAUGUGGUCCAUUGAAGUAGCUGGCUCUGGUGCGGGCGCGUACGGCAUGUAGUCCAUUGAAGUAGCUGGCUCUGGUGCCAUCUUGCCUAACUUGACCGGUCCAACCGGUCCAAGAGUGUCCCUCACAAUUCCCGAGCUUCUAAGUUCCGACAUUGCUCUUCUUGAUUGUCCUUCUUGUGAUUCACAUAGCUUUGGCAAAUAUACACCUAGUAUAAAAAAAAACCGAAAUGUAUUUAGAGAAAAGGUGUAAUUGUAACCGAACAAGUCUAACAACACCGUACCUUCGCCAGCAGCAAGGUUGAAGAAGAGAUCGACGACGUUAGGGCAUUGGGUUAAGCAUUUAACCGAGCAGAGUUUCUGAGUAAACCGGGAUUCCAAUAGUGCGUCCGAGGAUAUACCCAAAGAUUUCCGGUCUAGACCACACGCUUUGAUGCACUCGUCUGAUUCAAUAAUGUUUGUGACCUUGUCUGCUUCUAUCUCCGAGGACCGACACGUGUACCCCUCGAUUCCACUCCUCUUAAUGCUCUGCUCCAAAACGCAGCGUUUACCGGUCGACGAGACCGCAAACGCACACGUGUCUUUGUCCAGCUUCUCGCACUUGACUUCGUUCCCUAAGAAAUUAAUUGCAAUGGUACUUAUUUAUUACAUGCAUAGAACCUCCAUUAAGUGAUCUAUAUAUGAUUGUCGGAUAAAAAGGUGAUCUAUAUUUUUUUGAAUUACCGAUCUAAAUAUGAUUUUUUCGAUUCAAAAUAAACAAAAAUACCUUACUUUUUCUAGAAAUAACAAGAUAUUGUAUGAUAAGAUUAUAUCUAGUUUGUAUGAUUGUAGAUAUCUUCAAUAUGUACAUUUUAAAAAAAGCUAUUAGUAAUUUGCAGGCCAUGAAUCUUUUACCAAGUGUGGUUUGCAAAUAGACGGCAAGGAGAAGCAUAGAAACAACGAAAAAAGUUUUCAUAGCCAUGUUGUGAGGUAGAGAUCACAAAAAGAGAGAUAUUAAAGAAAAAAAUGCUGAUAGAAAAUUUUGCCUAAAAUAAGAGGAGUGUUUCUUCGGGU
This 7772-nucleotide long non-coding RNA is filed under the name Brassica napus (rape). Its description in RNAcentral is "long non-coding RNA (BNAP_LNC010895)". The record is from RNAcentral. Lineage: Eukaryota; Viridiplantae; Streptophyta; Magnoliopsida; Brassicales; Brassicaceae.